Molecule: long non-coding RNA, 175 nt
Organism: Dermochelys coriacea (leatherback sea turtle)
Lineage: Eukaryota; Metazoa; Chordata; Testudines; Dermochelyidae
Exons: 5
Source: RefSeq, a predicted model, not a curated record
ACAGGAGUUCAGACUGUGCUCUUCCAGUCUCAGCAAUGGAGUGUGCCUUGCACCUGAAAAAGAAUGUGAACCAGUCACUCCUUGAUCUGCACAAGCUGGCAACUGACAAGAAUGACCCUCAUUUGUGUGACUUCUUUGACAUAGGAAGAGCUGAAGACAAAAAAUGAACACCAUA